UCUGGCUCAGGAUGAACGCUGGCGGCGUGCCUAACACAUGCAAGUCGAACGGACCUUUAGUGACAGAGACUUCGGUCGACGAAGUUUAAGGUAGUGGCGGACGGGUGAGUAACGCGUGGAGAACCUGCCCUGUACUGGGGGAUAACAGUGAGAAAUUACUGCUAAUACCGCAUAAGCGCACGGGACCGCAUGGUCCUGAGUGAAAAACUCCGGUGGUACAGGAUGGCUCCGCGUUGGAUUAGCCAGUUGGCGGGGUAACGGCCCACCAAAGCGACGAUCCAUAGCCGGCCUGAGAGGGUGAACGGCCACAUUGGGACUGAGACACGGCCCAGACUCCUACGGGAGGCAGCAGUGGGGAAUAUUGCACAAUGGGGGGAACCCUGAUGCAGCGACGCCGCGUGAAGGAAGAAGUAUCUCGGUAUGUAAACUUCUAUCAGCAGGGAAGAAAAUGACGGUACCUGACUAAGAAGCCCCGGCUAACUACGUGCCAGCCGCUGC
This 498-nucleotide ribosomal RNA is filed under the name uncultured bacterium. RNAcentral's name for it is "bacterial SSU rRNA". It matches the Rfam family "Bacterial small subunit ribosomal RNA", at positions 18 to 518 of the family's 1533-position model. The record is from RNAcentral.